RNAcentral lists this ribosomal RNA (451 nucleotides) under uncultured bacterium. RNAcentral's name for it is "partial 16S ribosomal RNA". It matches the Rfam family "Bacterial small subunit ribosomal RNA", at positions 28 to 507 of the family's 1533-position model. The record is from RNAcentral.
AGCGAACGCUGGCGGCAUGCCUAACACAUGCAAGUCGCACGGGGGGGCUUCGGCCUCCCAGUAGCGGACGGGUGAGGAACGCGUAGGGACCUGUCGAGGGGUGGGGGAUAACCGCGGGAAACUGCGGCUAAUACCGCAUGACGCCGCGGCGUGACAGCCGGGGCCAAAGGCGAAAGCCGCCCGCCGAGGGGCCUGCGUCCGAUUAGCUGGUUGGCGGGGUAGCGGCCCACCAAGGCGUCGACCGGUAGCUGGUCGGAGAGGGUGAUCAGCCACACCGGGACUGGGACACGGCCGGGACUCCUACGGGAGGCGGGAGUGGGGAAUAUUGGACAAUGGGCGCAAGCCUGAUCCAGCAAUGCCGCGUGGGUGAAGAAGGUCGUCGGAUUGUAAAGCCCUUUCGGCGGGGACGAUGGUGACGGUACCCGCAGAAGAAGCCCCGGCUAACUUCGUG